Aegilops tauschii subsp. strangulata is the source of this 2353-nucleotide long non-coding RNA. RefSeq lists it as uncharacterized. NCBI's taxonomy places the organism in Eukaryota, Viridiplantae, Streptophyta, Magnoliopsida, Poales, Poaceae. The record is from RefSeq and is a predicted model, not a curated record.
CGGUGGCUGUGUACGUGUGCGGGCCUCCUUCCUUCUCUGGGCUGCGUGUGGCCUCUCAUGGACGUGUGCUGGGCUGCGUCAGUGUUCACGCUGCCGCCUUGCGUUGAGAGAGCGGUGCCGCUUCGAUGGUCUCCUGUAGAGACUUCUGGUGUUUUUGGAUCGGUGCCGCUAUGUCGCUGCUAGACUUUACGUCCAUGGAGCUCGAUCGGCAGCGUUGGUGGCCCGUUCUGCAACGUCGGCCUCCCCGAGGUCCUGCUGGUGGCCUGAACGCUCGCCAUCGCUGCUCCGGUUCCUCCUGUCGGUGUGAUUUAGGAACAAAUCGGCGGGCGUUCCUUUUUUGCAGGGUCUCCGUCCACGCGCGGCGGCGUGGUAGCUAGAGAGAGGAGCGGCGACGAAGAGGAGCUGUGUGUCCGACCUAGAUUCUUCAUUAAUCUGUGUUGUUGGUCGAUUUGUUUUCGCUGUGAAUCUGUGAUUAGUUGUGAGAUUUGGUUCUGGUUUUCUUGGUCUGCAGGUAUGCAAGAGUCGCGACGUGUAGAGGUCCAUCAGUGAUUCUAAGUGCGGCGACCGAGACAGACGAGUCAUCCUCACUGAAACCGACCGAACUCUGUUUAAUUGGCCAUUGUUUCCUACUAUGCAGGGUGAUCUUGACCUAAUUUGGCUUUUGACCUGAAUAUUGUGGUUGAUUCCACACAGCAACCGCAGCAACAACGAUGCGAGUGCGAGGUACUACACCCUGUUGUAACUCAUGUUGGCGUUGAGGAAGAAGAGGGUGAAAUCUGAUGGCCGAGUGCCGCCGCUGGAGGUGCCUGAACGACCGUCUCUCCAUGGUCCACUCAGUGGUGUCCAAGAUCGGCAAGGUAAAGACAAAUCGUUAAUCCAUCUUGGAAGAAUGAGGGGCAGAAUCUUGGGAGUAAAUCUGAAUGUGUGUAUGUGUGUUCUUGAUUUUGGCCGGGCAUUUAAUUGGACAUUACGUCAAUCCUGGGGACACGAUCGACUAGAUGAAGAAGCUGCUGGAGAGGAUCUGGCGACUGCAGGAGCUGAGCCGGACAUGUCGCUGGGUAGUCGACGGUGAUGGGGUGGUCAGCGGAGGCCGCGUGCUUUACACAUGCCCAAUUCUCUCUUCUGGUCUAGCUCCUCACCGUCGCCCGGCUGGCCGUCAAUUCUUAGUUUUGUGCCGUAUGGUGGUUGCUCUCUGAUUGGUUCAUCAUGUGCUGAUUCCUCUUCUUGUAUGAACGAUUUCCUCAAUUUUAAUUCUGGUUGGUAUGCUUUUGAUCCUUUGUGGAGAUCUCUGUUUCUAUUUGUCGGUUUUUGCUCUCUUUGCCUGAUUAGGAUCGUAAUUAAGUUCGUCGGUGGCCGCUGUAAAAUUGUGGUAGGACGCUGUUGAUUUUGUGGUGGUAUAAGCAUGUUUUGUCUUCUGGAUUUUUUUUUGCAUCCAAUUUCUGAUUUGUGCUUUUUGCAGGCAGGCUGUUUUUCGAUUUGGUCCGUUGUGCCGAACACUGUCGGUCUGGUGGUUAUUCUACAUGCAAAGCUGAAUAUACACCCCACCUGAACUAUCUCCAUUGGACAGAAAAAAUUCAUCAUAAUCACUACAUCAACUGCUAAUUCUCUUCAUGGGAUCACCACUUCUAUCAAGUGGAAUCUACCGAGCCGUUGCUUUAGAUGGAGGCAGAAGCUAUUACUACCAAACCUUGAAAAGCCAUUGGAAACAACCCCACAACCUUCUCCGACAGUAGUAGAGGUAAUUUAUAGCCUUAGUAAUCCUCAGAUUAAUCAAGCAGAUUAUCAGAUUACUAGAGGAUGGAAACAAUACAGCGGGAAUCAAGAAGAGAGAAGUCAAAUGUCAGCGGGAAAAUCAAAAAGAGGUUUGUCAGAUACUAUUUUUUUCCGUAUACAACAAAUACAUCUUAUUUGAUACUUCAAUGUAGUAUUGUUGUUUUUGCUUUUUUAUCGGUUAUUAAGUAGCCAGGGAGCUGUGUACGCAUGAAGGUUCAAAACGGACUAAGCUAUGUGCUAACAGCAAGGAAGGACCAGCUUAGUUCUACACUAUAGCUUGAGUGCUUUGUGUGCAGAACUAAAGCUGUGUACUGUAAGAAGACAAACUUACCACUCUAUUUGGAUUUAUCCAGUUCUCUUGACCUGUUGUAUAAUAUAACCAAGUUUACAUAGAUGCAACUGGGACAUAGUUGAAAUUGUGUACUGUAAUAGUAUGAUAUACUUGGUGCUCUACUUAAAUGUACGCAGUGCUCUCCGUCUGUAAUGUAAUGUAUAACUAAGCGUACACACACAUGAUGACAUGUCCAGCGUUCUAGCUUUUUCGCUUACUAAAAAGCUGAUAAAAGUAUCUUUUUCUACA